CAGUAGCCGCGGGAAAACGUAGGGUGCGAGCGUUAAUCGGAAUUACUGGGCGUAAAGCGUGCGCAGGCGGUUGUGUAAGACAGGUGUGAAAUCCCCGGGCUUAACCUGGGAACUGCGCUUGUGACUGCACAGCUAGAGUAUGGCAGAGGGGGGUGGAAUUCCACGUGUAGCAGUGAAAUGCGUAGAGAUGUGGAAGAACACCGAUGGCGAAGGCAGCCCCCUGGGCCAAUACUGACGCUCAUGCACGAAAGCGUGGGGAGCAAACAAGAUUAGAUACCCCGGUAGUCCCUGUCUCUUAUAC
This 301-nucleotide ribosomal RNA is filed under the name uncultured bacterium. Its description in RNAcentral is "partial 16S ribosomal RNA". It matches the Rfam family "Bacterial small subunit ribosomal RNA", at positions 509 to 807 of the family's 1533-position model. The record is from RNAcentral.